UACGUAGGGCGCAAGCGUUGUCCGGAAUUAUUGGGCGUAAAGAGCUCGUAGGCGGUUUGUCGCGUCUGUCGUGAAAGCUUGGGGCUUAACCCCAAGUCUGCGGUGGAUACGGGCAGACUAGAGGCAGGUAGGGGAGAAUGGAAUUCCCGGUGUAGCGGUGAAAUGCGCAGAUAUCGGGAGGAACACCGGUGGCGAAGGCGGUUCUCUGGGCCUGUACUGACGCUGAGGAGCGAAAGCGUGGGGAGCGAACAGG
Molecule: ribosomal RNA, 253 nt
Filed under: uncultured bacterium
Lineage: Bacteria
Description: partial 16S ribosomal RNA
Rfam family: Bacterial small subunit ribosomal RNA
Source: RNAcentral